Long non-coding RNA from Raphanus sativus (radish), 446 nucleotides. RefSeq lists it as uncharacterized. The transcript has 2 exons. The record is from RefSeq and is a predicted model, not a curated record. NCBI's taxonomy places the organism in Eukaryota, Viridiplantae, Streptophyta, Magnoliopsida, Brassicales, Brassicaceae.
UUUUAGGUGACCGAGUCAAGUUUCUAGGUCCUUCUUCAUCUGCAAUUUUGUCUCUUUAAGGCCCACCACUUAGGGGACCAACCAUUGGUUUCCAGGGAAAAGUAGUCCUUGCUUUGAUAUUGGAUUCGAUAGGCCUGUGCCCGAUGGCAAUUGAUCUUGGUGGCUUCUGCCAAGAGGCCCCUUAUCUCAUGUCACAAACCAUUCUUCAGUGUGAUUUAAUAACUUAAAGUCGUUGAAGAUUCAACUGUAGAUUUGUUGAUACUUUCCUUCUACUUAGAAGGAGCUAAAAAAAGGGAGAGACUCUGGGUAAUUGUUUCAGGUCUUGAUAUGGAUGUUUACAUGAUAGCAAGUUUUUCUUGAAAACACUUUGGAAACGUAACAAACUCAAUUUUUCCUUCAAGUUUGCUGUGACAUGCAACAGAUGUUGACGGUUUGGAAAACGAGAA